This 740-nucleotide long non-coding RNA is filed under the name Mytilus galloprovincialis (Mediterranean mussel). Lineage: Eukaryota; Metazoa; Mollusca; Bivalvia; Mytilida; Mytilidae. The record is from RNAcentral.
AAUCAUUCCAUACAACAAAUAUAGUAGAUCUAUUGCAUAAUAGUAUGAGAAAACAGACCAAAACACAAAAACUUAACUAUAACCACUGAACCAUGAAAAUGAGGUCAAGGUCAGAUGACACCUGCCAGUUGGACAUGUACACCUUACAGUCCUUCCAUACACCAAAUAUACUAGCCCUAUUGCUUAUAGUAUCUGAGAUAUGGACUUGACCACCAAAACUUAACCUUGUUCACUGAUCCAUGAAAUGAGGUCAGGUCAAGUGAAAACCGUCUGACGGGCAUGAGGACCUUGCAAGGUACGCACAUACCAAAUAUAAUUAUUCUAUUACUUAUAAUAAGAGAGAAUUCAACAUUACAAAAACUCUGAUCUUUUUUUUCAAGUGGUCACUGAACCAUGAAAAUGAGGUCAAGGACAUUUGACAUGUGACUGACGGAAACUUCGUAACAUGAGGCAUCUAUAUACAAAGUAUGAAGCAUCCAGGUCUUCCACCUUCUAAAAUAUUAAGCUUUUAAAAAGUUAGCUAACGCCGCCGCCCGAUCACUAUCCCUAUGUCGAGCUUUCUGCAACAAAAGUUGCAGGCUCGACAAAAAAAACAUCCUGCUGCUCGAACAUUGAUUAAAAUUUCAUUCCAAAUGCUGUAUGCAAGAAUAAAAAUAAUAAGGUGUAAUGAAAUACUUCAAAUAUGUACAAUUGAAUAAAAUAGCACACAAAUAAACUUUUAUCAACAAAAUUAUGUAAUG